GGGGUCGUGGCCAAGUCCGGCAUGGCGACUGACUCCAGAGGCACCGCGCCCGGUGACGAAACUCCAGACUGAUAUACUGAGCGGACGGCUGAUCACCGCCCGCGCUGAUGACCCUCUGGAGUUCCGAGGCGCGACCGGAGAUAUCAGUCGAUCGGGAGUUCAAAUCUCUCCGACCCCA
This is a transfer RNA of Halorientalis sp. IM1011, 178 nucleotides long. It matches the Rfam family "tRNA". From Rfam's summary of the family: Transfer RNA (tRNA) molecules are approximately 80 nucleotides in length. Lineage: Archaea; Methanobacteriati; Methanobacteriota; Halobacteria; Halobacteriales; Haloarculaceae. The record is from Rfam.